Molecule: ribosomal RNA, 209 nt
Filed under: uncultured bacterium
Lineage: Bacteria
Description: partial 16S ribosomal RNA
Rfam family: Bacterial small subunit ribosomal RNA
Source: RNAcentral
CGCGUAGGCGGCCUGCUAAGUCGAACGUGAAAUCCCCGGGCUCAACCCGGGAACUGCGUCCGAUACUGGCGGGCUUGAAUCCGGGAGAGGGAUGUGGAAUUCCAGGUGUAGCGGUGAAAUGCGUAGAUAUCUGGAGGAACACCGGUGGCGAAGGCGGCAUCCUGGACCGGUAUUGACGCUGAGGCGCGAAAGCCAGGGGAGCAAAACGG